GUGAACGCUGGUGGUGUGCUUAACACAUGCAAGUCGAACGGUAACAGGAAGUAGCUUGCUACUUUGCUGACGGGUGGCGCACGGGUGAGUAAACUAUAGUUAAUGUGCCUCGAAGACUGGGAUAGCCACUGGAAACGGUGAUUAAUAUUAGAUAUAUUUUUUUAGCUCAAGUUAGAGAGGGAAACGUUUUUUCGCUUCGAGAUCAGACUAUAUCCUAUCAGUUAGUUGGUGAGGUAAUGGCUCAUUAAGGCAAUGACGGGUAGCGGUUCGGAGAGGAUGAUCCGCCACACUGGUACUGAGAUACGGACCAGACUCCUACGGGAGGCAGCAGUGAGGAAUAUUGCACAAUGGGGGGAACCCUGAUGCAGCAACGCCGCGUGGAGGAUGACGCAUUUCGGUGUGUAAACUCUUUUUAUAUGUUAAGAAAAUGACGGUAGCAUAUGAAUAAGCACCGGCUAACUCCGU
RNAcentral lists this ribosomal RNA (465 nucleotides) under uncultured bacterium. RNAcentral describes it as "bacterial SSU rRNA". It matches the Rfam family "Bacterial small subunit ribosomal RNA", at positions 29 to 506 of the family's 1533-position model. The record is from RNAcentral.